Peromyscus eremicus (cactus mouse) is the source of this 601-nucleotide long non-coding RNA. RefSeq lists it as uncharacterized. NCBI's taxonomy places the organism in Eukaryota, Metazoa, Chordata, Mammalia, Rodentia, Cricetidae. The transcript has 3 exons. The record is from RefSeq and is a predicted model, not a curated record.
UGGAACUCACCAACCUUUAUGGAGGGCUGUGGGGUCCAUGGCCAGGGUGCCUCUACCUAGGCAUUUCUAGGAAUGAACAAUAGGAGACAGCGCUGAGGUAUGAGGGUGGCCCAGAGGCAUCUUUACCCAAGGGACCAUGUCUGGCUGAGGGACCCAGGCAGUCAGCUGGAGAGGCCCUACCCACCAUGGUUGCUCACAGCAAUGAAGUUCCAUUCAUUAGUACUCGCUGCCCCCUUGUACCCAAGACCAAGAAGAGGGCAACUGAGUUUCUGAGCUGAAAACACACUGGUGGUUGGACAGCCCUUUCCCCAGGAGACAUCGGGACAAGGAUGGAGCAUGCUGGUCCACGGAGCCCUCAGCAACCGAAGAAAGAAUGGCUGGGACUUGUCACAACCUGAGCCCCUUGAGCACAGCUCCUGUCUAGCCUAUCUGCUUCCCAUUUUCCUUCUGCACCUGUUUGUCAGGGCUAGCCACACCGUGGGCCUUCCCUCUGCACCCGAGAGUCUGACUCCCUCACCGGUCACUACUCUAUGUCAACCAGUGAAUCUAGAAAAAGCCCAAAUGAGCAGUUUUAUGAAACAGGCUUGUCAAUAGAAAACAA